RNAcentral lists this ribosomal RNA (480 nucleotides) under uncultured bacterium. RNAcentral's name for it is "partial 16S ribosomal RNA". It matches the Rfam family "Bacterial small subunit ribosomal RNA", at positions 28 to 523 of the family's 1533-position model. The record is from RNAcentral.
GACGAACGCUGGCGGCGUGCUUAACACAUGCAAGUCGAGCGGAAAGGCCCUUUCGGGGGUACUCGAGCGGCGAACGGGUGAGUAACACGUGAGUAAUCUGCCCCUGGCUUUGGGAUAGCCACCGGAAACGAUGAUUAAUACCGGAUACGACCACUUCUCGCAUGGGAUGGUGGUGGAAAGUUUUUCGGCCAGGGAUGUGCUCGCGGCCUAUCAGCGUGAUGGGGAGGUAAUGGCCCACCAUGGCUUCGACGGGUAGCCGGCCUGAGAGGGUGACCGGUCACCCUGGGACUGAGACACGGCCCAGACUCCUACGGGAGGCAGCAGUGGGGAAUAUUGGGCAAUGGGCGGAAGCCUGAUCCAGCAACACCGCGUGAGGGAUGACGGCCUUCGGGUUGUAAACCUCUUUCAGCAGGGACGAAGCGCAAGUGACGGUACCUGCAGAAGAAGCACCGGCCAACUACUUGCCAGCCGCCGCAGUAA